This 2003-nucleotide long non-coding RNA is filed under the name Salvator merianae (Argentine black and white tegu). RNAcentral describes it as "lncRNA (ENSSMRG00000022258.1)". Lineage: Eukaryota; Metazoa; Chordata; Lepidosauria; Squamata; Teiidae. The record is from RNAcentral.
UCCAAAUGAGAGCAGUAAGCUUUACUUUUCAGAAAAUGUAUGCAAGGCAAUUCAGUGACACUACAGAGCUCUAUGUGCAAAUUCAGAAGCAAACCCCAUUCGGUACUUUGCUUCUUUGCAGACUGUUGGAUUGGAUUGCAGUGAGCAUGCCACAACUGCCAACUUUUUUGAAGUGGCAGAGCUACCAAGGCUGCAUGCCUUUCUGAAUUCAUAGCCUCGUUGCGACCUUGUGCUGUUGCAGCGUUCUUUGAAGACAAGGAAAGAGAAGAAGAGAUCCUCUGUCACCUGCUUUCGACAAUGCAGAUACUCAGAGGCCUGAAAGCUUCCAAGCAAAACAGCUGGCAAGCUUGUCUUCUGCAAUNGCUCGGCACAAUCCAAAUCCCUUCAGUACCUGAGCCUGACUUUUACGGUUGGAGGCAAGAUGGAAUGUUUCAGACGGUGCCAUCUUACUGCGUUGACAUCAAAGAAUUCCUUAUGAAAAUUAAGUGCCCAUGUAACGUGGAUGAAAUGGAGACAUUGACUCAUGUUUUAUUUUUCUGCUCUAUGUAUCAAGAUCAUUAAAAAAAAAAAGCCCUUCUUGAACCAUUCAUAAAGAAGUAUCCUGGAAGACCUUUUCAAUGGUUGACCUUUUCUGCUCCUGUUUGCUUCUACUUAUAAUUUAUAACUUGUUAAAUUCAAAACUUAAAUUUCCUUUUGUGUCAACCUUUAAUGCUAUUUUUGUUACUUAUGCCAUUUAUCGUUUAAGUUAGAGUUUUUAAUUUGUAUCAGAACUUUUAAUUGCAUUUAAGAUGAUUCUGUGAAUAUAAUACACUUAAUAAUAAUAGAGGUGUCAUGAAUUGCAAGAAUUUAAUUGAAGCAAAUUGUUGGGUGUAAAUAACAAGAAUUGAAGCACCUUGAUGUUUAUAAAACUCUGGUUGGAGAAGGAGCACCAGUACAUUUAUUAUAUUUAUUUAUUUAUAUUUAUUUAUCUGAAAGGAUUUUUAUACUAUCCUUUAUCAGAGUCCUAGUACAAGGUAUCCAUAGUGGUAUGCAGACUAAAAUCAAAACCAAAGAAGUAGGAAGAAAGAAAGAAAUUUUAAUUAGAUGAUGAUGAUGAUAGAGUUAUGGCAACAGCUAACAAAUAUCUAAAGAAAUUUAUUCUGUAAUUAAUCUCCAAAAGCUUGGAUGAGCAGGUGUCCAUUCACUAGGUGUUGAAAUGAAGCUAACAUUGGUGCCUGGUGAAUCUUGAUAGGGAAACUAUUCCAUAACAACUUUGUCUCCCUGACAAAGGCAUGCCAAAAAUGCUCCCAUGAAGCUUCCAUUUGCAUUUCAGAGCUUUAGCAAUAUCUUGUUAGAAACUCAAAAGGAAAAAAAAAAGAGUUAUUUCCCCUUGCUCCCAGCCCAUGUUUUGUGGCUCACAAGACUUUGCUGUGGCUGCUAUCUGACUCUCAAAAAGCACUUGAUUAACACUGUGUCUGGUUUAGAGCUUACUAACUGGACAGCUUUGGUUUAGAGAUGAUAAAUCAGAAAUAAGCCAGGCCACCUUUCACCAACUCGCUGGAGGGCUGCAUGCAUUUGAUCUCUAUGACUAAAUGUAGACGUGCCUACUAUCAGCUGACAGUGAAGUACCCAGAACUGGUGUGUAUUGAUUUGGUCACUUCUGGAUAUGCCACUACUCUUGGCCACCGCUGGGUGAUCCAUCAACUCUAUACAUGACUGCUGAACACAAGGAAGGAGCAAUUUGUAUUCCCAUAUGGAAGCUGGGUCAGACACCUCCAACUUUAUUGCUGAUAUUUCCAGAAUGAGUGUUGACUUUAAAUAACAGCAACAUCAUCAUCCUUGGAGGAGCAUACAGUAAUAUGGUCCCUCCCCACUUUCAGACUACUGUUUUAUUGCAUGCCUUUUAUGAGUUUUUGUUUUGUUCUGUUUUGUUUUAAUUGUUGUAACCCGCUCUGAGACCUUCGGGUAUAGGGCGGCAUAAAAAUGCAAAUAAAUAAAUAAAUAGGUCUCGAAACUAAUAAUGC